Molecule: long non-coding RNA, 2110 nt
Filed under: Podarcis lilfordi (Lilford's wall lizard)
Lineage: Eukaryota; Metazoa; Chordata; Lepidosauria; Squamata; Lacertidae
Source: RNAcentral
GUUAGAGCAGCAGCUUUGUUCUGUUGUGCUGCUGUCUGCCUGAGAGUUAGUCAGUCUGUAACAGUUUAAUCUUUGUAAAACGUAUAAGCAAUUUAACUAUCACCUACCUGCAUUGAACAUAAUAUUUUGCAACUGCAAGUUUACUAAGUCAAAGUUACUUGUUCUUUAAACUUUAAUCAGAGAGUGUCUUGUACAGUUUUUAUAGGAGGCAAAAGAGAUCAAAUAAAAUGGUCAAACGAUCCAGGGCUCUCUUCCACAUACUUCACAUGAGGUAAUGUGGGUGGCUGAACAGAAUAUCAGAUGAAUCCAAAGAGGAUAAGAAUACCAGUGGGUUGGAUCAGUUAAAAAAAAAGACUCUGCAAGUUUCACCCCCAAAGACACAAAUCAAUAGACACAGAGGCCUCUGAAACCUUCAGCUGCUAGUAGGAUUGUUUUUGAUUUAUUUAUAUUUCUGGAUUUGCUUGGAACCCACGAGAAAGAAGGCCCUUGAUGCCAUUGAGCUCAGAUUAUGCUCAAUGUGUAGAAUUUCCUAUUAUUCUUACUGCAAAAUUAACUUUUGAUAUUUCAAGUUCACUACCCUCAUUCAGGAACAGAAUGCCAUACUUAAAUACCAUUUUAUAUCUAUUUUUCAUAUUUGAUUUCAGACAUGGAUGAUUGUUUUCAGUGUUCAGAAGAUCAUUAUCAAAACAUUGGCCAAGAUGGAUGCCUCGCAAAAUACAUAACCUUUCUGACUUACAGCAAACCCCUGGGGAUCAUUUUGAACACAUCUGCCGUUUUAUUUUCUUUAAUCAUAACUUUGGUUCUUGGAAUAUUCAUCAAGCACCAGGACACUCCCAUAGUAAAAGCUAAUAAUUGGAACCUCACCUAUGUUCUCCUGCCCUCUCUCAUCCUCUCCUUUCUUUGGUACUUUUGGCAGUGUGGGCAGGUGCCAAAGUCCUGCUGGAAAAUGAAGUCAGCAUCCCCAUAAAGCUUGUCUGUGGAAGAAAGCAUGAAGUGCUCCAAAAUCUCCUGGUAGAUGGCUGUGUUGACCCUGGACUUAAUGAAGCACAGUGGACCAACACCAGCUGAUGACAUGGCUCCUCAAAUCAACACAGACUGUGCAAACUUCACACUGGACUUCAAGCAUUUGGCAUUGUGUGCCUCCCCAUUCUUCCUCUAGACCCUGGGUCUUGGCUUUCCAAAUGAGCUGCAAAAUCUGCUCUCAUCAGAAAAAAGAUUUGGGGAGCCAUGCCAUCAGCUGGUGUUGGUUCAAUGCCCAUGGGAUUACUGUGCUUGAUUGGCUUUGGCUGAGAUAGGAUAAAUAUGUUUUCUUUAAAAUAUUACACAGAAACUGUAAUUCAAAGCAAGUGAUUACCUCUCCUGUAAUUAUUCAGAAUUACAUCUUCUCCCCUUCCCUUUUCUGUGCCCACAUGCAAAUGAUGAAACUAAGAAUGGAGGGUCUUAUUAAUAUGACUAUGAACUAUACAUGGUUGUGUCUAUAGAUAUACAGAGAAUAAUGAGUAUGGCUUUGAAUCAGCUGUGUGAGUGACCAUUCAAGUUAGUCUCUACAACUCACAGUCACUUGAAUGAUAGUAACAGAAGAGGUGAACUUGUGCCUACAUGAAUAAUCCCUUGCAAGAUGGUAGUGUUUAGGUUGCUGGUGCUCUUACUGCCACUGCAGGGGAUGUGCAAGUUUCUUCCUCUUCCUCAGUGUUCCAUCAGAGAACCUGUCCCUAUUCUUCACAAAUAUUAUCAGUCAGGAGAUCUCAUCAUUGCUGGCAUUAUUUCACAGGUCUAUAUAUUUUCAGAUACCCUAACCUUUGAAAAACACCCAUCUCAGGAAUUUUCAGAUGACCAUAUGUAAGUAGGUGAUUCCCCCCCCCCCGGGAGGGGAAUAGUAGUAUUCUGUAAAUAAAUUUACAGCCAUCCCAGCCAGUGUGUUUAAAUAAAAGAAGGGACCUAGCACCUAUCUCUCCCAUUUAAGAAAAGACUUUGGCUGAGAUGUGAUGAACAUGUUUUUGAUAUAUUAUUACAGAGAAUCUGUAACUCAGAGCAAGUGAUUACGUCUGUAAUUACCAAAUUAUUCAAAAUUACAUCUUCUUCCCUUCCCUAGGGACCUCCUUUGUCCACA